CCAGAACUGCUGAGACCCAGCAGCAAUUUCUGUUCUUAUACAUUGUAGAUGUUUGACUUUGAGGCGUCAAAGGGUGAGCUACAUGCAUCAGAACUCCUGGUUUCUGACCGGUCUGUGUCAUCACAGAUGAAAUGGUGAAUCUACAUUUUGAGGUCUCAGUCACUUCUGAAAGCUUGAGCUUGAAGUUGAAAUAUUUUCCUGAAAGUGAGAGAGGGACUGUGUGCCUUUGCUUCCGCAUAUGGCAAGAGUACGAGAAAAUGAGAUUUUUCUGAUUACACAAUUUUAUAUGCUCUAUGAACCUUUCAGGAAAUAAAUGAAAAGGAAAUAUGGAAGGUUAAUUGUUAGGGAAAGUGAAAGAAGGACUGAGUUCAGAGGAGGCAGAGGGAGAGAGAGACUUCAAUCAACAAAGUAGAAAUGAAACUGGUAUCGAAGAGAUCAAGAGGAACAAAAGUCAAGAUGGGGAGAGAGGAAGAAGGAGAAAUAAAUCUCAUCUCUGCAGAUAACUGAAACUGCAAGGAAUAUAACAAGACCAGCAGCACUGCUAUAAAUGAUACUAGUGUUAAAGCUGGGUAGCUCUUUCAGGAGCUAGUACAGACACGAUGGGUCAAAUGGCCCCCUUCUGUACUGUAAAAUUCUAUGAUUUAAACUCUGUCCUGCUCACACAAUUGCACAACAAAGAUGCAGCAAAGGUAUUGGAAAUAACAGUUUCACAUUAACAAAUGCAAUAACAAAACAUGCAAAUAUUAGGUCAUAUGAGUAUUAGAGCCCAGUUUGAGGGUUCUGAAAUCACUCUACACAGGUGGUUUCCUGUCACCAAAUCACCUUUAUUUGCCAAUGAAUAGCCCUUGACUGUAGUACUGCCUCAUACAGAGUCAGCUACUGGAAUGUUCACACAGGUAUUUCUCCUAUAAUGCAAUAGUUGUGUUGUUAUGUGAUGUUGCAGCAUAGGAAAUCGCAUUAUAGGGAAAUCGCCGUACUGUACAGUAGAAAGUUUGCGUUAGUCAAACAGCAUCCGCUAUUCAUCAACCGCAUGACAGCCAAUUCGCGUUAACAAAACACACAUUAUAGCCGAAAUACCUGGAUCCCUGACACUCAGCUUUUUAUCUGUCGGCCAGGGCUCCCUGAUUUGAGCAGAUGAACAGACCCAAUCAAGAAACUCUUAUUCUAUGAGGUCCGGCUGGCUGAACUCAUUACAAUCACUACAGGUUUCUUCACUCAAUAGUUAAAAUUCAGGCCAGUCCAGGGGCUGCAAACAGGACAUGCAGAACUCCCUCAAAGUUGAAAAUAUUGCAGCAAUAUGUUAUUUGAAGAUAGCGACAGCAAUAUGUUAUUUGAAGAUAGCGAAUCAGUGUGAUUUUUAGUUAAAUGCAAGGCUUUAUGAAGACUUAAGUUUCCAGUCUGGUCUAGCUGUUAGCCUAGAGUCCUGCCAACUGCUGCUGGUUUCAUAGCAGACUGGCUUAAGGGUUUGUAAGUGCAGUAUUAAAACUCUUCUAAGUACAGGCGCAUUUUGGAUCCUUGCCCAUUGAUGAGUCAUUUAGGCUAGCAACUGAAUUUCCAUCCUUCUGGUUACAAUCCAUUGAGCACUUUAGGAGAUCGA
Long non-coding RNA from Rhincodon typus (whale shark), 1597 nucleotides. RefSeq lists it as uncharacterized. The transcript has 3 exons. NCBI's taxonomy places the organism in Eukaryota, Metazoa, Chordata, Chondrichthyes, Orectolobiformes, Rhincodontidae. The record is from RefSeq and is a predicted model, not a curated record.